This 460-nucleotide ribosomal RNA is filed under the name uncultured bacterium. RNAcentral's name for it is "partial 16S ribosomal RNA". It matches the Rfam family "Bacterial small subunit ribosomal RNA", at positions 338 to 795 of the family's 1533-position model. The record is from RNAcentral.
CCUACGGGAGGCAGCAGUGAGGCAUAUUGGUCAAUGGACGAGAGUCUGAACCAGCCAAGUAGCGUGAAGGAUGACUGCCCUAUGGGUUGUAAACUUCUUUUAUAUGGGAAUAAAAUGUUCCACGUGUGGGAUUUUGUAUGUACCAUAUGAAUAAGGAUCGGCUAACUCCGUGCCAGCAGCCGCGGUAAUACGGAGGAUCCGAGCGUUAUCCGGCUUUAUUGGGUUUAAAGGGAGCGUAGGUGGAUUGUUAAGUCAGUUGUGAAAGUUUGCGGCUCAACCGUAAAAUUGCAGUUGAAACUGGCAGUCUUGAGUACAGUGGAGGUGUGCGGAAUUCGUGGUGUAGCGGUGAAAUGCUUAGAUAUCACGAAGAACUCCGGUUGCGAAGGCAGUUCACUGGACUGCAACUGACACUGAGGCUCGACAGUGUGGGUAUCAAACAGGAUUAGAUACCCUUGUAGUC